CGGUAAGACAGAGGGGGCUAGCGUUGUUCGGAAUUAUUGGGCGUAAAGAGCGCGUAGGCGGUUUAAUAAGUUAGAAGUGAAAUCCCGAAGCUUAACUUCGGAACUGCUUCUAAAACUAUUAAGCUAGAGUAUGGUAGAGGGUGAUGGAAUUCCUAGUGUAGAGGUAAAAUUCUUAGAUAUUAGGAGGAACACCAGUGGCGAAAGCUGUCACCUGGGCCAUUACUGACGCUGAGGCGCGAAAGCAUGGGGAGCAAACAGGAUUAGAUACCCUGGUAGUCCAUGCUGUAAACGAUGAGUGCUAA
This 302-nucleotide ribosomal RNA is filed under the name uncultured Occidentia sp. Its description in RNAcentral is "bacterial SSU rRNA". It matches the Rfam family "Bacterial small subunit ribosomal RNA", at positions 518 to 819 of the family's 1533-position model. The record is from RNAcentral. Lineage: Bacteria; Pseudomonadati; Pseudomonadota; Alphaproteobacteria; Rickettsiales; Rickettsiaceae.